RNAcentral lists this ribosomal RNA (475 nucleotides) under uncultured bacterium. RNAcentral describes it as "SSU rRNA". It matches the Rfam family "Bacterial small subunit ribosomal RNA", at positions 26 to 518 of the family's 1533-position model. The record is from RNAcentral.
AGGACGAACGCUGGCGGCGUGCUUAACACAUGCAAGUCGAGCGGAAAGGCCCUUCGGGGUACUCGAGCGGCGAACGGGUGAGUAACACGUGAGCAACCUGCCCCUGGCUCUGGGAUAGCCUCCGGAAACGGGGAUUAAUACCGGACAUGACCUGGGACUGCAUGGUUCUGGGUGGAAAGUUUUUCGGCCAGGGUGGGGCUCGCGGCCUAUCAGCUUGUUGGGGGGGUGACGGCCCACCAAGGCGACGACGGGUAGCCGGCCUGAGAGGGCGACCGGCCACACUGGGACUGAGACACGGCCCAGACUCCUACGGGAGGCAGCAGUGGGGAAUAUUGCGCAAUGGGCGGAAGCCUGACGCAGCGACGCCGCGUGCGGGAUGAAGGCCUUCGGGUUGUAAACCGCUUUCACCGCAGACGAAGCGAGAGUGACGGUAUGGCGGGGAAGAAGCGCCGGCUAACUACGCGCCAGCAGCCGC